RNAcentral lists this long non-coding RNA (453 nucleotides) under Ananas comosus (pineapple). RNAcentral describes it as "long non-coding RNA (ACOM_LNC005612)". Lineage: Eukaryota; Viridiplantae; Streptophyta; Magnoliopsida; Poales; Bromeliaceae. The record is from RNAcentral.
UAGAUUAUUAUUAUGGUUCAGUUUUAUUAUCACAUGUGAAUAAUUGAGAUUUCAGUUGGUUUUAUGAAUAUAAUAACGCUUUUGGAUUUCUAUAAAGUGGAAAUGAUUUUCUACCCCUAGUGGUAGCGUGUUUUCAAAAGAUAAGAGUUUCCGUGUGGGAAACAAUUUUAAAAGAUUUUUCUGUGGAUUUUGUAUCUUAGUAUUUCAAAAUCAGUUUCCGGGUAGAAAACGUUUUAACUAAUAGAUGUGGAUUUAUGAUUAAACAUCGAAUGUGAAUAUUAAUGUGAAUGGUGAAUGUAUGAAUGUAUGAUUAUUUGUAUAUUCAUUUAGUGGUGGUUGUAUUCCUAUUAAAUAUCUUAUACUUGUGCGACGCCGUGCAAAUAUAGGGGAGACUCUAUCCAUGUGAACAGUGGACUUCCUGUAUUUGUGGCAGAUCUAACAUACCCUGGGGUC